GUCGGCUUCCCUUGCGUUUAGCAGGGGAAGGCUUCGUUUUUUGGUUUUUGAUCUGGCUUUAAAGGAAAGUCCUUCCUCAAUUGAGUUAGGGUGUAUAUAGUUGUUGGUUUGCAUGCCUGUUGAUCUUCAAUAAAGAGGACAUUUGUAGCAGUGCUUGUGUGCUGGGUAUAGUUUGAGGGUUCUAAACGGAGAGGUUAUGGUCGAUUGCAAUUUGAAAGCCUCGAUUUGGUGCAUCAUCUCUUGGGACUAAGGGUCGGUUUUACGCAAUGAGAGGGUCUCCCUUAAUUUGGCUAUUUUCUCAUCUCCAGGAACUGUUUUUACCAUACGGCUGGAAAGGUCUUCCUAAUAACUUUGGGUGCUAGAGAGCUCUAUAGCCGAU
Molecule: unclassified non-coding RNA, 379 nt
Filed under: Hevea brasiliensis (rubber tree)
Lineage: Eukaryota; Viridiplantae; Streptophyta; Magnoliopsida; Malpighiales; Euphorbiaceae
Source: RNAcentral